RNAcentral lists this transfer RNA (73 nucleotides) under Camponotus floridanus (Florida carpenter ant). It matches the Rfam family "tRNA". From Rfam's summary of the family: Transfer RNA (tRNA) molecules are approximately 80 nucleotides in length. The record is from Rfam by way of RNAcentral. Lineage: Eukaryota; Metazoa; Arthropoda; Insecta; Hymenoptera; Formicidae.
GUCUGGAUAGCUCAGUGGUCUAGAGCAGUUACCAAGAAAGCGAAAGACUCGGGUUCGAUUCCCGAUCCAGCUA